Molecule: transfer RNA, 64 nt
Filed under: Protobothrops mangshanensis
Lineage: Eukaryota; Metazoa; Chordata; Lepidosauria; Squamata; Viperidae
Also listed under: 4 other names
Description: tRNA-Glu
Source: RNAcentral
UGUUUUUGUAGUUGAUAUACAACGGUGGUUUUUCAGGCCGCAAGACUCUAGAAGAGUAAAAACU